ACAGAAUUUAUAUUAAACUACUUGUCAACGGCUUGAUGUCACUAUCAGUUAAGUAUGGUUGUCUUAUCGGCAUUCCAAGUGGAUAACCAGUUGUGCUCGUGUCAAAGUUAACAAGCCGCUGACAACGCCUCGAUGUUAAAAAGAGAUUACUAAAUACUUAAAUCGCGACACGCUGCCAUGUGGAGCACUGUGCGAGGAGGCCACGCAACGGCAUUUGCGGACUUGCUACAUGCAAAUUGUGGCCAAGCGCGAUGUGUCAACAACUCUCGGCGAUCGCAUUCAAAUUUGGUGUUCCGUCGAAUCCUGCUAACCCUGCCCCCGUACCGCUGUUCACCCCAGGGCAAUGCACGCGCCAAGGCUUUUCCUUGCAUCGAACCGCUAAUCGCCUGAAUGGGGCAUGGAAAUUGAAAUUGGAAAUUGGAGCUACAGUAUGUAUAUGUAUGUAGACUAUGCUAUAUGUGCAUCUGUGUGUGAAUAGAUGGAAAUGAUACGCACGCCAGACGCAGGUGACCGACUUCCCAAAUGCAACGUGAUGUGAGUGAGCUCCACUAAAGGCGAUUUCUGUGCAUUGUCUUCACUGAGGGUGGAGGCGUGCCCGAUGUGAAGCCGUUGAUAUUGAGCACGUAGCCCAAAAAUGGAUGCCAUGAAAUGGCUCUUAAUGCUCACUAAAUAAAUACUUGGCAUGCAUGGAUAAUAUUGAUAUUAAUAUUAAGCGACAACGGAAGAAAAUUGCACAGAACCGAAAGAUAUUCGCUUGGAUUCCAUGUAAGUUGUUCCGACUCGAACGAACUCGUUGCGGCUUCCGCUUAGCUCCCUUUACGCUUUGUUUCAACUCUGCGGUUGAGCCCGAUCAAUCUUAAUGGCCUGGCCUCACACAAUGGCCCGGAAUAUGGGUAGAUGCGUAUAAAUAUUUACGACCCUUAAUUGGUAAAGGCUUCGACGUUUGGGGCAACAGAGAGCGAGAUUUUAGAUACCAGCUGAGUGCAUCGUUGGAAAUUUUGCAAAUGGCAAAUGGCAAAUGGCAAGUGGCAUGUGGCAGCUGGCAGCAGCAAAACACCUAACAAAACUGGCCAGAACGACGAAGACUAGGUCUAGCUGAAUUGAUAGAAAGACGUCAGCACUGAGGGGCACUCGAGUCCAAGUCCAACGGCAACAACAAAGAAACA
RNAcentral lists this small RNA (1166 nucleotides) under Drosophila mojavensis. RNAcentral describes it as "GI26957". The record is from RNAcentral. Lineage: Eukaryota; Metazoa; Arthropoda; Insecta; Diptera; Drosophilidae.